GACGAACCGUGCGAACGUUAUUCGGAAUCACUGGGCUUAAAGCGCGUGUAGGCGGGCCGCCACGUCGGCUGCUGAAAUCCCCCGGCUCAACCGGGGAACGGGCACCGAUACGAGCGGCCUGGAGGGGGGUAGGGGGCACUGGAACUUCCGGUGGAGCGGUGAAAUGCGUUGAGAUCGGAAGGAACGCCCGUGGCGAAAGCGAGUGCCUGGACCCUUACUGACGCUGAGACGCGAAAGCCAGGGGAGCGAACGGG
RNAcentral lists this ribosomal RNA (254 nucleotides) under uncultured bacterium. RNAcentral's name for it is "partial 16S ribosomal RNA". It matches the Rfam family "Bacterial small subunit ribosomal RNA", at positions 524 to 776 of the family's 1533-position model. The record is from RNAcentral. RNAcentral also lists the same sequence under 1 other name.